Molecule: ribosomal RNA, 472 nt
Filed under: uncultured bacterium
Lineage: Bacteria
Description: partial 16S ribosomal RNA
Rfam family: Bacterial small subunit ribosomal RNA
Source: RNAcentral
AGUGAACGCUGGCGGUAGGCCUAACACAUGCAAGUCGAACGGCAGCACAGUAAGAGCUUGCUCUUACGGGUGGCGAGUGGCGGACGGGUGAGGAAUACAUCGGAAUCUACUUUUUCGUGGGGGAUAACGUAGGGAAACUUACGCUAAUACCGCAUACGACCUACGGGUGAAAGCAGGGGAUCUUCGGACCUUGCGCGAUUGAAUGAGCCGAUGUCGGAUUAGCUGGUUGGCGGGGUGGAGGCCCACCAAGGCGACGAUCCGUAGCUGGGCUGAGAGGAUGACCGGACACAGUGGGAAUGAGAGACGGCCCAGACUCGUACGGGAGGAAGCAGCGGGGAAUAUUGCAAAAUGGGCGGAAGCCAGAUGCAGGAACGCCGUGUGCGGGAGGACGGGCUUCGGGUUGUAAACGGCUUGGGCCUGUGACGAAGCGUGAGUGCCGGUAAUGGGGAAAGAAGCACCGGCUAACUACGUG